ACGUAGGGCGCAAGCGUUGUCCGGAAUUAUUGGGCGUAAAGAGCUCGUAGGCGGUUUGUCGCGUCUGCUGUGAAAGCCCGGGGCUCAACCCCGGGUCUGCAGUGGGUACGGGCAGACUAGAGUGCAGUAGGGGGAGACUGGAAUUCCUGGUGUAGCGGUGAAAUGCGCAGAUAUCAGGAGGAACACCGAUGGCGAAGGCAGGUCUCUGGGCUGUUGACUGACGCUGAGGAGCGAAAAGCAUGGGGGAGCGAAACAGGAAUUAGACGUACCCGGGUGUCAAUCCG
Molecule: ribosomal RNA, 284 nt
Filed under: uncultured bacterium
Lineage: Bacteria
Description: partial 16S ribosomal RNA
Rfam family: Bacterial small subunit ribosomal RNA
Source: RNAcentral